RNAcentral lists this ribosomal RNA (253 nucleotides) under uncultured bacterium. Its description in RNAcentral is "partial 16S ribosomal RNA". It matches the Rfam family "Bacterial small subunit ribosomal RNA", at positions 524 to 776 of the family's 1533-position model. The record is from RNAcentral.
UACGUAGGGGGCAAGCGUUGUCCGGAAUCAUUGGGCGUAAAGAGCGUGUAGGCGGCUAGGUAGGUCCGUUGUGAAAACUCGAGGCUCAACCUCGAGACGCCGAUGGAAACCAUCUAGCUAGAGUCCGGAAGAGGAGAGUAGAAUUCCUGGUGUAGCGGUGAAAUGCGCAGAUAUCAGGAAGAACACCCGUGGCUAAGGCGGCUCUCUAGUACGGUACUGACGCUGAGACGCGAAAGCGUGGGGAGCGAACAGG